Molecule: long non-coding RNA, 1420 nt
Organism: Eriocheir sinensis (Chinese mitten crab)
Lineage: Eukaryota; Metazoa; Arthropoda; Malacostraca; Decapoda; Varunidae
Exons: 2
Source: RefSeq, a predicted model, not a curated record
UCGUUACUCGUAUUUCCCUUAUUACUAUACGGAUCAAGCAAGUUUCAGGUAAGUUUUAAUUUAAUUUUAUCCAUAUUAUAUUUCCACGCCGGUAAGUUUUGGUUUUAUUAAUAAUUCGACGAGGUAUGAAGACGCCCACCGCUUUCUCCCUCUUAGACACGUUAAUUCACCUUCAGAGCUCCCGGAAAGCCAUAAUUAAAGUGUGAAAAUAUCAAAACUAGUCUCCAGGAAAGCCAUAAUUAAGUUUAAGCCUCUAAAAGUGCUUGAAAAUGGCUAUAAUAUAUCUGUGUGUGGCUUUCUUGAGUGAUUUUGAGCGGGAAAUGGGGGGCGUCCCUAUUCUCUGCUCUGAUUGGCUGUCCAGGGGCCUUGCUGUGCGCUGAUUGGCUGUGAGCUCCCCGCCUUUUUUUCCUGCUCUGUGAUUGGUCGCGGCACCAGGUCAGCAGCUUCCCCCUCAUUGCAACUUUGGCGCCAAAAUCUCGCACCCUCACACACACGCCUCUUAACCUUCAAGACUCGUAGAAAACCAUAAUUAAAGUGUGCAAAUACUAAAACUAACAUCCCGGAAAGCCAUAGUAACGUUGUAAGGCUUAAAACAGGCUUGGAAAUAACUAUAUACGUGUGUACGGACCCGACAGUUUCUCGCUCCUUCACACUCACGCCUCUAAACCUUCAAAGCUCCAAGAAAACCAUAAUUAAACUGUGCAAAGACUAAUUCUAACCUCCCGGAAAGCCAUAGUAACAUUGUAAGGCUUAAAACAGGCUUGGAAAUAACUAUAUAUGUGUGUACGGACCCGACAGUUUCUCGCUCCUUCACACUCACGCCUCUAAACCUUCAAAGCUCCAAGAAAACCAUAAUUAAACUGUGCAAAGACUAAUUCUAACCUCCCGGAAAGCCAUAGUAACAUUGUAAGGCUUAAAACAGGCUUGGAAAUAACUAUAAUAUAUCUUUGGCUUUGGCGGGAGAGGGCAGCGUCCCUAUUCUGUGCUCUGAUUGGCUGCCCGGAGCUUCCUGUGCGCUGAUUGGCUGGGAGUCUUCGCGUCCACACAGCCAUGGCCACCAGUCAACCCCGCGCCAUGGCCCCGCUGGCUCCCACUUUUUCUUGCCUCCACGAGCUUGCCAGGGACUUGUGGAGUGUAAUUUGAGUUGCCCUGACACAACAUGUAAGGGGCAGAAACAAGAUUACAGCACCCAAUACCUACCACGACAUGCUACUACACACAAUACUAGCACAGCCAUACCAAGAAAACAAGGUGGACAUUUUAGAACUAUUGUUAUGUAAAGAAGCAAUAAGACUGUGAAGUCAAGAAAGACCUGAUCAGAAGAAUGGGGAAGAAGAGAAGAAGAAAACUGACCUCUUUUACAAUACACAGGUUACUGGACCCCUCCCAUUUACACAGACUACUACUACUACUGCUACUA